GUGGAGCCUGCGGCUUAAUUUGACUCAACACGGGAAAUCUCACCAGGCCCGGACACCAGCAGGAUUGACAGAUUAAGAGCUCUUUCUCGAUUUGGUGGGUGGUGGUGCAUGGCCGUUCUUAGUUGGUGGAGUGAUUUGUCUGGUUAAUUCCGGUAACGAACGAGACUCUGGCCUACUAAAUAGUGGACGGGCGUUUCAGUGCAUGGGCCCCGUCGGACACAGUCUUCUUAGAGGGAUGAGCAGCGAGUAUAGCUGCAGGAGAUUGAGCAAUAACAGGUCUGUGAUGCCCUUAGAUGUGCUGGGCCGCACGCGCGCUACACUGAAUGGGUUAGCGGGUUGUCCUUCUCCGAGAGGAGCGGGAAAUCGCUUGAAAACCAUUCGUGAUAGGGAUUGGGGCUUGCAAUUGUUUCCCAUGAACGAGGAAUUCCCAGUAAGCGCAAGUCAUCAGCUUGCGUUGAUUAAGUCCCUGCCCUUUGUACACACCGCCCGUCGCUACUACCGAUUGAAUGAUUUAGUGAGGCCUUCGGACUGGCGGUCUUGGACUGGGGCGCCGGAUGUCUCCCAGCAAUGGGGUGCCGGCGGCUCGCCUCGACGGGCCGGAAAGAUGUCCAAACUUGAUCAUUUAGAGGAAGUAAAAGUCGUAACAAGGUUUCC
RNAcentral lists this ribosomal RNA (654 nucleotides) under Tuleariocaris sp. IH-2016. RNAcentral describes it as "SSU rRNA". It matches the Rfam family "Eukaryotic small subunit ribosomal RNA", at positions 1176 to 1804 of the family's 1831-position model. The record is from RNAcentral. Lineage: Eukaryota; Metazoa; Arthropoda; Malacostraca; Decapoda; Palaemonidae.